UACGUAGGGCGCAAGCGUUGUCCGGAAUUAUCGGGCGUAAAGAGCUCGUAGGCGGUUUGUCGCGUCUGCUGUGAAAACCUAAGGCUCAACCCCGGACUUGCAGUGGGUACGGGCAGACUAGAGUGUGGUAGGGGAGACUGGAAUUCCUGGUGUAGCGGUGAAAUGCGCAGAUAUCAGGAGGAACACCGAUGGCGAAGGCAGGUCUCUGGGCCACUACUGACGCUGAGAAGCGAAAGCAUGGGGAGCGAACAGG
This 253-nucleotide ribosomal RNA is filed under the name uncultured bacterium. RNAcentral describes it as "partial 16S ribosomal RNA". It matches the Rfam family "Bacterial small subunit ribosomal RNA", at positions 524 to 776 of the family's 1533-position model. The record is from RNAcentral.